AUGACAGCAAAGAAGCCAAAAAGGCCCAAGUCCACAAGACAGAAAGAAUAGGUGAAAAGUCCAUGUCAUCUCAUUUUUGGAGAUGGACAUGGACAGGGGCUGAAACUGCAGUACCAGCAGAUGGGGAGCUUAAGAAGGAAGCUAGUUCAUGGCACAGCACCCGUAAAGUCCCCAGAAUUGGAGGCACCAGAUUCUUCUGAAAGAAAAGGAGCAAUUCAGCACUUGUCAUGCAGAUAAGAGGUCAACACCCCAGGACGGAGUGAAAACCUAAGGGUCAUCAAGACAGGAGGAUAUGAGGCAGAAUCACCACACAAGCUAACCUGAUGUACAUAUGACAUUAAUCCAAUAGACUUAGGAAUAAGAUACAGGGGGUUUUCCUGAAUGAUUCGAGUAUAUCCCCAUUCAUAUUAAGAAAACAAAGUAUUGGCCAAGCGUGGUGGCUCACGCCUGUAAUCCCGGCACUUUGGAAGGCCGAGGCCAGUGGAUCACCUGAGAUGGACUCAACGACUCUCUUACCGUCCAGCUCUCAAGUCCCUUCUCUUGUGAAAAUGGAAAAGUUGAACUACAGUUGAGAUAUUAUUCCCAGGUGUUCUUUGGAACACAGGGGAUUUCUCCAAAAGGCACAGAACAAAUUGCCUCCAAACAGCCAAGAUUCCAGCAGAAGCUGGAGUAGCAGACUACUUGGAUCUUCAAAGUACCUGGCCCUGAGUCAGUUAAGGAAGAUCUUUUCUUCUCUUUUGUACAAUCCUAUGAUGAGAGCUGCAAAGUGAACUGACUAAGAGCUUCUGCCUUGAUCAUUGACCUCCCAAUCCUAAUAAUAUGUUCACUGGCCAAACUUCCUAAUCGAUUUGUCUUUUGGAUAUAACGUUCCUCCUACUGUUUGCCUGAUUGAGAAAUCUGCUACAGAACAUGACCGGUUAGCAUUCCCACCAACCCCAGUGCUACACUGACUGUCUUUCGAUGGACUUUGCUCCUUGCUGCCUCUCUGAGGUCCCAGACCUUCAGAGUGACCUUCACAGCUCUGCCUAACUUUCUGUCAUACUUCUAUCAAGAGAGACAGCUAAAUCAAUAUUUUUAAUGUGCUUUGCUGUCGGAAUUCGAUGAUCUGUCACAGUUCUUGCCCAAUACACCCCAUCAUUAUUGUUAAAAUGUUUUUAGCUUUGUUUGUAGAAUUGCUUUAACUGGUUUCAUCUCUGGGAGCUACACUUUGAAAUAUAACUUUAGCAACAUUUUACUAUACUUUUUCACAACCCAGAGCAGUACUAUUUUAUGCUUAGUGGUUAAACUAAUUCCAUAAAUCUUUUGCAACUAUCCUCUAUUCUUUUUCUUGUAAUUUUUACCUGGGAAGGUUUUUACUGAUAAUCAUCCUAUCCUGAGUCAUCCCACAAACCAAUCUGUCUCACUAAUCAUUGCUUCUAACCUACAGACUAAGCAUAACUUCUGCUAAAUGAUCUUUGAUAAGAUGCUAUGACUCUAUAAAGUCUUUGAUAUUCAUGUCUAAAUUUAAUCACUUGUAGAUUUUCAUAGAAUCAAUCUUUCACUUCUACAAUUGGGAGUAUUUAUAAGUUGUUUAUCUUAAACAGUUCCUCUAUCACGCUUUUCACGUUAAAUAAAGCA
RNAcentral lists this long non-coding RNA (1617 nucleotides) under Homo sapiens (human). Its description in RNAcentral is "non-protein coding lnc-U2SURP-3:10". Lineage: Eukaryota; Metazoa; Chordata; Mammalia; Primates; Hominidae. The record is from RNAcentral.